GAUGAACGCUGGCGGCGUGCCUAAUACAUGCCAGUCGAGCGAACGGACGAGAAGCUUGCUUCUCUGAUGUUAGCGGCGGACGGGUGAGUAACACGUGGAUAACCUACCUAUAAGACUGGGAUAACUUCGGGAAACCGUAGCUAAUACCGGAUAAUAUUUUGAACCGCAUGGUUCAAAAGUGAAAGACGGUCUUGCUGUCUCUUAUCGAUGGAUCCGCGCUGCAUUAGCUAGUUGGUAAGGUAACGGCUUACCAAGGCAACGAUGCAUAGCCGACCUGAGAGGGUGAUAGGCCACACGGGAACUGAGACAGGGUCCAGACUCCUACGGGAGGCAGCAGUAGGGAAUCUGCCGCAAUGGGCGAAAGCCUGACGGAGCAACGCCGCGUGAGUGAUGAAGGUCUUCGGAUCGUAAAACUCUGUUAUUAGGGAAGAACAUAUGUGUAAGUAACUGUGCACAUCUUGACGGUACCUAAUCAGAAAGCCACGGCUAACUACGUG
RNAcentral lists this ribosomal RNA (497 nucleotides) under uncultured bacterium. RNAcentral's name for it is "partial 16S ribosomal RNA". It matches the Rfam family "Bacterial small subunit ribosomal RNA", at positions 28 to 507 of the family's 1533-position model. The record is from RNAcentral.